Long non-coding RNA from Macaca fascicularis (crab-eating macaque), 3126 nucleotides. The record is from Ensembl. NCBI's taxonomy places the organism in Eukaryota, Metazoa, Chordata, Mammalia, Primates, Cercopithecidae.
GGUUAUUUGUUCCUUAGACCCUGGGAUAACACAUCCAAGCCAUUACGUUAGAGUCUCAGAAUGUACUCAGUGGAGCUGUGCUUUGAGGCAGCCAACAUUUCUCUGCUCUCCUUAGAAAUGCAGUCUCCCAAUGGAAGCUUUAUGCUCUUUGUACUGGGAAAGUGAGGAUGAUUUGAUAGCUUUAUUGGGGUCAUGUCUUCCCCAAGGUGUGGGGAACUUUAGCUUACUUGGCUUUUGAGGUAUCAUCCCUCUAUUCUCCCCUCCUGUCUUUCCAUGACCCUCUGGAUUGAGAGAGGUAAAGACUGACAGACACCAGCGUAGGCUGGAAAAGGGAGUGUGUGACCAGAGUGCCAAAAAUGACUAGGAGCAGGUACUGCUCCGACUCAGUUUGGAGAAUGGGAAACGGGACAGUAAGCACAAUGCCCAGUAGUACUUGAUUUCCAAGGACCCUGGAACCCUACACAUGAGAGGCUUAGGGUCACCAUCUGCUCAAGAGGAUCCCCUCUGAUCUACAGGCCUUUCCCCUAGGUGUCUACGUCCUCAUUUUUGUUCAAUUUGGGUUCUGAGCCCUCCCCAAAAACCAUUGUUUUAAACCUCUUGGCAGGGCCCCAAAACAACCUCCCUCAUACUCAUCAUAUUCCCUCUGCCUCCUGCUGCCCUCGUGGGCAGUGCUCUGAGCAGUGACCUCCCUUUCCUCCAUGGAAGUAGCUAGUGCAGACACCUUCACCCCACCUCACCUGAGUCCCCUCAACCAAGAGGGUGACUGAAUUUCGGCCUGAUUAUGCCCUCCUGGAGCUCCUGUGAGGUGGAGCCAAGGGCCCCUCUCUGUUCCUGUUUGUUUUAAAAUAUUGUUGUGUGUUUUGUAUCUGUGGCACUGGCCUGCAGCAUACUCUGUACAUAUUGUAAAGAAACCGUUUGGAGUAAUUUUCUUUUGCAUUGGGCAGGUAUGGCCCUGCAUUCCUGCCCUUUCCACUCGUUCUGUAACAGAGGAUGAACUUCCUCUGGGCAGCCUUGGGUUCUCCAGAAGAGAACAGGUUUUUCUUUUCCUUUUUAAAUUUUCUUCUUAAACAUUUGGCUCUUUGAUCCUCAUAUCCAAGUCUCCCUGAAGAGUAGGAGCUGCUCAGAAGAGCAGGUGAAAGCCUCAAUGGCAGAUCCUGAUGCUUGCCGGGCCUAGUCUUCCCUCCAAAAUGACAUGAAGCAGCAGCUGUGGAGAUUCUUGACAAGUGCUGAGUGAAAGAUUUGCUGUCCACCUCUACAUGGGGAGGAGAAACACAGGUGGGAGCUACCUGUGGCAUCCAUGAUCUAGUCAGAGGGAUGAGAUGCUCAGCAGGGAUCCCCAUCCUAUCCCACCCCACAAACAAAGGCUGGAAAAAUUUGCUACCAAGGGCCAAGACCACCAGACCAAGCCUGUCUCUGAGCCACCCCUGCCCAGGCCCUCACAGACAUUGCUCCCUGGGCUUCCCAUCGAGGAGAAGCUGAAGAGAGAGGGGGCCUCAUCCCCAGAUAGAUCAGGCAAGGCUUGGAGAGCUGCUCUUUAAGAUCCACAUCAACUACUUCCUCAUUUUAAGGUAUGGCAGUUUCCUUCAUCCCCUUUUCCUGCCUUGUACAUGUACAUGUAUGAAAUUUCCUUCUCUUACCCAACUCUCUCCAUACAUCACAAGAUCAAAGAACCACACGCUUAGAAGGGUAAGAGGGCACCCUAUGAAAUGAAAUGGUGAUUUCUUGAGUCUCUUCUUUCCAGGUUUCAAGGGGCCAUGGGAGGACUUAGAGAGUUGCGAGUGAAGACUGCAGAGGGCUAGGAAAGUAUUGUAUACAGGUUUUGAGGCCACCCAUGUCACUUAUCCCGUAUACCCUCUACCAUCCCCUUGUCUAUUCUGAUGCCCCCAAGAUGCAACUGGGCAGCUAGUUGGCCCCGUAAUUCUGGGCCUUUGUUGUUUGUUUUAUUAUUUGGACUUCCCAGGAAGCUUUCCAGUGAUCUCCUACCAUGGGGCCCUCCUGGGAUCAAGCCCCUCCCAGGCCCUGUCUCCAGCCCCUCCUGCCCCAGCCCACCCGCUUGCCUUGGUGCUCAGCCCUCCCACUGGGAGCAGGUUGGGGCGAGCUGGAGGCCCGGGCUGGAGGGGCAGUGUUGCUGUUCAUAGAUUUUGUUCCAUUGGCGUUGCUCUGUUGGAUUUAAUUUCAGUCUUCCUGAUUCUUCCCUUCUGUAAAGUGUACAUUACCAAGUUCCUUGUUUUUUAUAUAUAUAUAAAUAUAUAUAUAUACAAACUGUACUCUUUUUGCCUUUGUACAUUCAGGCAAGAAGAGAAAAUAAAUCUUUUUAAGAGACAAUCACAAAUCUGUGAGGGCUGCUGGUUAUUUCUCCUGGAGUUUGCUGCUGAGCUGCCUCUUCCUUCCUCCCAACUUUCCUGUUCCCCCUCAGCUUUCCUGAUCUUCCUGGCCCUGCUCCAUAUGCAUCCUCAGCUUCACUUUCCCUGGCUGAUGGCAAGUUGUUGAAUCCAGUGUCCAGACUACCUGCCUUGUAACCCUUUUCUGCCCAGCAUUGUUUUCUGGCUUGGCCAGUGGCUUAGCCCAGGAGCUUUACUCUGUGCCCUGGCCUCCCCUCUCUUCACCUUUAGAUUCCAUUCACCGAAGUGACUUUGGACCCCUGGGUACUCUGGGACCUGUUUCCUGGAGGCCCUGGCUUGGGAAACUCACCUGUGAAACUAUGCAGCUGGGAGCUCUCUGCCUAAGAGUUUGCACUAUUUAAACCUGCCUGGGAGUUAGGACGGAUGGUUUUAGGAAUGACCAGGAAACUACCCCUAAAACUCCCCCUACAUUCCAGCCUCUAGAAUGCUCUGAUCCAGAGCUCAGUGGAUGAUUCCCAGCUGGUGGACUCUGUGGCUACCCCAUCAGAACAAGGGCUAAGGGUUUAUGGGUCAAGAGUAUUUGAUCAGAAUUUUAAAGGGUGGUACACUCUGAAACACAGCCCAACCAAACCAUUUGUUUGGCCUCUUUCUCUUUUCCUCUACCUUCCUCCUCCCCCCUUUUUCCCCUCUACUUCCUCUUCUUAAUUGGCUUUGGAAUUGAAGUAUAUUUUUAAAUUAUUUGUUGUAUUUAUUGAAUAAAGUUUUUAAUGUCCCUGUUCUUAAA